GACAGAGGGGGCAAGCGUUGCUCGGAAUCACUGGGCGUAAAGGGCGCGUAGGCGGGAUGGCAAGUCGGUCGUGAAAUCCUUCGGCUCAACCGAAGAACGUCGGCCGAUACUGCCGUUCUUGAGGGAUGCAGAGGAGAUUGGAAUUCCCGGUGUAGCGGUGAAAUGUGUAGAGAUCGGGAGGAACACCGGUGGCGAAGGCGGCCUUCUGGACGGUGACUGACGCUGAGGCGCGAAAGCGUGGGGAGCAAACGGG
This 253-nucleotide ribosomal RNA is filed under the name uncultured bacterium. Its description in RNAcentral is "partial 16S ribosomal RNA". It matches the Rfam family "Bacterial small subunit ribosomal RNA", at positions 524 to 776 of the family's 1533-position model. The record is from RNAcentral.